This 96-nucleotide small nuclear RNA is filed under the name Marmota marmota marmota (Alpine marmot). RNAcentral also lists the same sequence under 1 other name. The record is from RNAcentral. Lineage: Eukaryota; Metazoa; Chordata; Mammalia; Rodentia; Sciuridae.
CGCUUCGGCACGGCAGCAAUAUACUAAAAUUAGGUUACCUGUACAUAGCCCCUGUACAAGGAUGACACGCAAAUUCGUGAAGCGUUCCAUAUUUUU